UCACUUUAAAAUAGCCGCUUAUUUAAUUUAAUUUUAUUUAUUUUUCUAUACACAGUCACACUGGGUGAACUUUAGUUGGUAAAAAAUAUCAGCGAAUUUUCCUCCAUGAAUUCUUUCAGGCAUUCCUUCAGAAGUUCCUUCUAAAUUCCUUCUGAUUUUCGUAUGGAAGUUUCUUCUCAGAUGUUUUCUGUAGUUUUUUUUCCAAUAUUCAUUCAGGAGCUCCUUCUUGAAUUCCUCCAGGAGUGCCUUCAGAGAUUGAUAUGAGAUUUCUCCGAGGGUUCACCAGGAGUUCCUACUGAAAUUAGUCCAGCAGUUUCUACUAGUGUUCUGGUGUUCCUCCAGUUGAACAGCGGGGUGAAGUUGAUCAUUAUGGAGUUUAUUUUGUUUAUUUUGUUUAUUUACUCAUAAUUCAACUGACUUUUGAAGUCUUAUUGAAUAACUUAAAACUAUGGAUACGAAACUACAUUCAAAGCAUACGAACUACAAACAAUUAUUGCAAAAAAAAAAAAAAUAUUACAUUUAAAAAUCAUCAUAAAUUUUCCUAUUUUCAGAAAUAAAAAUCAAACCUACACAUACAAAUCACAUUCUACACAGUUAACAUCAUCAAAUUUCAUUUACAUUCAGAAGAGACAAAACUAUCUGUGACAAAAUAACUAGUAACAUUCAAAUUCAUUGACAAUGACAAUGAGGCUUCCACGUUUCAUUGUGAUUGUGACGCCCCUCGGGCGAUACGCACCUUACAUCGUCGACCUUGGUUCGUCGAUCGUCGGUACAAUUGACAUUCUAUUGUCCGAUAGGACAAUUGACGUGAUCACUGGAUAUGACAGCAAAGGAGUUGAGAAAAACGCUGAUUCAUGAUGAUGUGUGGAAUAUGCAGUGAAAAAUCAGAAAACUAUUUGAGAAUAAUUCGUGCCUAUAAUUGAAUUCCGUGAAAUGUUCUUAAUCUAGUUAAAAAUAGCUAUUACCUGCGUUAAAUUCUUAGUCAACAAGUGACUAGUAAUCAAUUUGUUAUUCUAAAAAUUGUUUAUCCUACAACUAAUAUCUAACUUAUCAAGCUAAACUUAAGUACGGAGGAGACCUGAUCCAGACAAUUGAGGUAGAAGAGAUUUGAGAGGCACUAAACGUAAGCAAAAUGAAUUACAAUGUCAAUCUCGUAAUAACAAAACUUUAUAUUAAAGGAAAUUUUAACCAGCCAAAAGUUUGCGUUGGUUCAUUUUUUCGGAAGACGAUCCCUCCAGUUGGCGCGGCCAACAUAGGUUAACAAAUUCUCUUAUUUUGACAUUCUUUGGCCAUAUACCCGGAUCCAUAGCUCGUGUUUUCCAUCCCUUAUCAAUGACAACUUUGAAAGAAAUAAAAUCGGGUUUUCUGCAACGAUUCCAUUUGGAAGCCAAUUUUACUACAUCGAUGCGCUCGGGUUGCGGAGUACCUAUUGCUCGAGAGACCAUCACAUGUAUAUCCCGUUCGGUUGCACUUUCAUCAAUAUUUGUGACAAACAAUGAGAAGUCGUCGUCGUCAUCUGCAGUGCGCAGCUUCUCAUUACUCUGCGUGUGUGGGGCAUUCAUAUCGGUUUCGUUGUGUAGUUCGGACGAUGCGAUGGGUGUCGAAUGAAGCAGCGAAACACGACUCGAGAAGACUGCUGGAGCCGGUGGUAUAGCUUUCGACAGCAUUUCGAGAAUUCCCGCCACAGUUGAUUUUAACUCUUUCACUUCUUCUGCAAUCGUUUUUGCGUUCGUUGGUUUGCUUGUAGGAUCGGAUGAGAUACCGUCUCUCACUCUCCGGAACUUAUCGAUACAGAUAUCGCACAUCCAAAUGAUGUUCAACGAGAGGGUGCACACAUCUUCUUCGCUUAGUCCAACACAGUUAGCGUGAUAAAGUCCCGCGCAAUCUCCUUCGCAAACUGUGAAUAGUUCGGUAGUAGAGUCGACACUUUUGGAGCAUUUUCGGCAAGUUCUAUCUCUUUCCAUUGCCGAUCAGGAAUGGCAGUUACUGCUAAAGAGAUACGUAGCAAAAUAACUUUGUAUUUUCGUUAUUUCCUGAAUCGCAACGAUGUCCACGGCACUAAACUGGCACAAUUAUUCUCA
Long non-coding RNA from Aedes albopictus (Asian tiger mosquito), 2081 nucleotides. RefSeq lists it as uncharacterized. NCBI's taxonomy places the organism in Eukaryota, Metazoa, Arthropoda, Insecta, Diptera, Culicidae. The transcript is spliced from 3 exons. The record is from RefSeq and is a predicted model, not a curated record.